RNAcentral lists this long non-coding RNA (6258 nucleotides) under Lactuca sativa (garden lettuce). RNAcentral describes it as "long non-coding RNA (LSAT_LNC002575)". The record is from RNAcentral. Lineage: Eukaryota; Viridiplantae; Streptophyta; Magnoliopsida; Asterales; Asteraceae.
GGAUGCUAAGAGUUGAUCCGGGGCUUGCAAAUACACGAGGUUCCUAAUUAUAAUGUAAAGAUACACAUUUGUAUCUAAUUAGUACUUAGAUUGAUUGUUGGAUAGGGACAAUUGUUUCUAGUCGCGAAAACACUCCGAUACGAGUGUUUGGAGGGACCCGGGUGGCGUUUAAGGAUGGGAAAUGACACUAGGGACUUGGGACUUGAGUUUACUCCCCAUGAGUAAACUUAUACAAGAGUGUUAGGUCCAAAACACCCAUUCCCCAUGAGUUUACGGCCGUAAACUCAUGGUAGGGUGGUUUAGAGUGCAAAUUUGGGUUAUAAAUGGAUAUGGACACUUGGAAAUGCUUGGAUUAAUUUUUCUUAAGGCUUGGAUUAAUUUAAAAACAUCAUUUACAACACAUAAGGGAGUUUACGGCCUAGGCAUGGGUUCUUUGGCCGUAAACUCUCAAUUCUCCAAGAUUUAGUGUUUUUAAGUUGUUAAAAUCAAUCACAUGUGAUUCUAAAAAUUCCCACAAGCCUAGAAAUGAGUUUACAAGUGACAUAUGAGGCAUUUAUGGAGUUUACGGCCCAUGAAACCCCCUUCAUGGCCGUAAACUCUAAUAUAGGGAGCUACAAGGUGUUUCAAGGUCUAAAACUUGCAUGAAUGGACUUCUAAAAUUCAUCUAAGGGCCUUAGGGGUGUGUAGUUUGCAUUCUAACACCAAAAAUUUUGGAGUUUACGGCCCAAGAACAUGUCUUGGCCGUAAACCCUUAGAAACCCCAUAAAUGUUGUGUUUUAGGCCCUCAAAGUAUUUUUGGUUGGUCCCUUGAUUUAUUCCAAGGCUUUUGGUGGUGUUGGAUGGCUUUCUAACACCUUAGAAUGAGAUUUAUGCCAAGUUUUGUGGAGUUUACGGCCCAAGAACUCUCCUUGGCCGUAAACUCAUCUAAGUCCCUCAAAAUUAAUGUUUCAAGUGUCCAAAUGCAAGAAUCAAAGUCCUAUAAUUCAUAUCUAAGCUGUAGGGGUGAUUUGGAAGGGUUUAAAGACAUGAAAAACACCAUUUUCAUGAGUUUACGGCCCAAGCUUAUGCCUUGGCCGUAAACUCCUUCAAAGUCCACAAAAUUAUAGUUUUAGGUGUUCUAAGUCCAUAUCUUGAAGUCCCUUAGCCAUAUCUAAAGUCCAAAUGAGUUAAGGAAGGAGUUUAAGGGCUAAAAACUCUUCUAAAUGGUGUUUACGGCCUAGGCAGCCUCCUGGGCCGUAAACUCACAUAUAAUGUCCAAUUUUAUGAUUAAGUGUCUAAUUUGGAAGCUAAACAUGCUAUAGAUUAAGGCUAGGAAGGUACCUUAAGGAUUUGAAGCCUUAAAUUUGAGUUUUGGACACUUAAUCUUUGGAUUUAGGAGAGAGGUUAGAGAGAGAGUAGAGAGAGAAGGAAAAAGCUUCAAAUGAGUGCUUAAACAUGUUUAUAUAGUCCCUAAAACUUGGACACGGUGGAAUUCUACCCGAUACCGGCCUUAAACGAUGCUUUAGGUCGCACCCGAUUGAGUUUUCGUCACCCGACGAGGAUAUUUCUAAAACUUAAAAAAUAAAUGUUUUGGGCUAAAUUCAUGAGUUCCUAAAUGAUUUGGACCCUCAUUGAAUGAAAAUAAAUAUAUAAUUUUAGUUAACUAAGCCCAAAAACGAUAACGGGACAUUUCGAUUUCCGACGAGUUAUUCGGGUAGAACGGGUUUUCGGCGAUGAACAACUUCGGGUUGUUACAUUAUCCCCCCGUUAGAGGGAAUUUCGUCCCGAAAUUCAAAGAAUAAGAUACAGGUCAUGGAUUUGAAAUGAAAUACGAAUGGAUUUGUUGUCUCGGAUAUUCACUUCCUCAAGUGGAAUCUGGUUUCUGUUGGGCGUUCUAGUGAAUUCUCACUAUCGGGACAUGUCCUUGUUUCGUAUCUUGACUCUCUCUCAAUCUACGAUAUCAAUCUGCUUUCUCGUGGAAGUUCCAUCUCUGAACGACUUCGGUUUCCUCAAGGAAUUACUAGGGUUUCGUUGGGCAGACGCUUCUAUGGAUUCGAGACGUGAGGGUCUAGAUAGAUAUUACCAAGCUCUAAGGGCAUCCGAAACUCGAAGAUUACAGAAUCGAUCUCUACGAAGAUCUCGAAAGGUUUGAUGUGAGACUAAACUAUACGUUCGGAAGAAACUCUUGGGGCUAAGUCGCUAGUGCACUCAUUCUCACUGGUAACCAUAUUGACGGAAAAUGUUUCGAUUAAUAGACGAGGACUAUAUUUACGAAGAUAUUUGAAUGAAUGACUAAUAAAACUUUCUUAAUACUAGAUUCAAAAAGAGCGCGAACAUAUGAAUUGUCGAGAAAAAUAUACCCACGGCAGUGGGAUCAGUGGCUGCUUUCUCUUGCUUCAUAGCUAAAACCAUCUUGGCGUUGUUGAUGUUGUUGGUGGUUGCUGCCUUUGGGCAGUUUCGUUUGAAAUGUCCGAUUUCUCCACAACCAUAGUAGGCCUGUCCAUUACUUGAUCCAGAAGCUUGAUGGAUUAGAUGAACUGGUGUUUUGCAAUUUUGAGCAGGGUGGCCCUUUUUGCCACAUCUUUUGCAGAUCCUUUUGAAACACGGGCCAGGGGUAUAAUGGUGAUAUUUGCACUUGAUGCACCAAGGGAGAUUUCCCGCAUAUCCAGUGGUAGGUACUUGAGCUAUAGGCAUAGCAACAGGAGUAGCAGCAGCUUGAACUGUAGGCACAACGACAGGAGUAGUGACAGCUUGACCUGCCACAGUUUCACGCCUCUUGGAGGGUCCUUGGGAACUCUGACCUUUUCGCUUUUUACUCUUAUCGUUUUCAUUUUGAUGCUCCUGAACAUUUCUAUGGUUUUGGGGGUAGGGGUUAUAUCCUGGACCAAUGGAUAUGUUAGGGUUCAAGAUCGUUAUUGCAGAUAUCACUGCAGCAGAGACAACCAGCUGGAGCGUCACAGGAUCGAAGCGAGAUGAGGGUGGCGACGGAGGGCUGUUGUUACUUGAAUUGGAUCCUCUCUUUGAAGACAUUUCGAUCUAAAGCGAUUAGGAAAAAGAGGAUGGUAAGUCCCCUACAUUAAAUCAAGAGAUAUGAAACAAAGAAUAUCUCUUUAAGACAAUAAUAUAAAUCUAUUAAGCGAUGAAGCGAGAAUGAAUUAUCAAAGCAGAUAAGUUAUCACUAAAGGAAUGAUCGAGGAAUAACGCGGAUACAAGAAUUUCUACAAAGGAUCGGCUCGAGAAAUACUCCCAUAGUAUUUCAUGGUUCGUUGCAGCGUCGAUUUGUUGUUUGGAAUAUUAGGUAAGUUUUAGGUAUGCCGUAUGCCACAGUCACUCCCAAGCACAUGUUGGCCGUGUCUCGAAUGAAUAUAGUUGGCCAGGCUAUAUUGACCCUAGACACGACUACAUAACUGCUCAGGUUUAACCGCAGUGUACAACACCCAUUUACUUAUGUUUUGUUCUACUUAUAGUUACGGAUUUCGACGGCUCGGCAUACUUAAAUACUUUUGAAAAUACUUAUAUAUUGUAAGAUACUUUUAGUUCAGAGCACUUAGGCCCCUUAAUGUUUAUAGUCUUAUACCAUGUAAGGUUUGGUAUACUCUGUUCACUAUAAACAAGGGCUCUGAUACCAAUCUGUCACACCCCGAAAACCAAAGGCGGAAACGUUCCCGGGGUUGACUCCAUGUUGUGUAUCAAAUCCAAUGUACAUAGUAAUCACAGUAAACAACCAUUACAUUACAUAUAUAUAUGAAAGUUUACAUUUGGUUCAAAAGUAAAUUGUACAAAAGUUAUACAUAUAUCAUAUGAACAAAAGAGACGAGUCUUCGGAGCACUCCGUCUUCACCAAAAGAUAUCGCCGGGUACCUGUCUAACUUGGACCUGAGAAUACAAGCGGUUUGAAAAUCAGCAUAAAGCUGGUGAGUUCAUAAGCGGUUUUGUUUUGUGAAAAUGUAUCGAUUUCCUUUAGUUUUCUGAAAAGAUUUGAUAUCCAAGAAAAUCCCAUAUUUUCUUAUGUAAAGUAGUUAAGUUAUCUUUCGUUACAGUUCUGUUACAGAUAUAAGUUAACCCCAGGAAAAUCCCAUAUUUUCCUAAUUGUAAGAUUGAUUUGAUAACACAUAGUAUAGUUUAAUACACAAAACUAUAAUUUAGACGAACUGUAAAUAGAAAGUAUUUUGAAAACCUUGGGACUACAUCCCGAACCAGUUAUAAGAUAAUUCGAUAAAAACCAUGGGAUCACUAUCCCGAAAGUAGAUAUAAGAUAGCUUGAUAAACCAUGGGAUCACUAUCCCGAAACUAGAUAUAUGAUAGAUUGAUAAAAUCAUGGGAUUAUCAUCCCGUAUAAGAUUUAGUUUCAAAACCAUGGGAUUACCAUCCCGAACGAAAUAUAGACACAAGAUCAUGGGAUUAUCAUCCCGAACGAGAUAUAGACAUAAAACCAUGGGAUUACCAUCCCGAACGAGAUAUAGAUACAAGACCAUGGGAUUAUCAUCCCGAACAGGAUAUAGAUUCUAAACAAAAUCCUAGCUGUGAAUAAGUUUAUAUUAAUACGUAUUGUGAGUCGGGUAACCAUGCUGAUAUGACAACGAGACCUCCUUGACGUUAGUCAGACGUCGAAUGAUAUACAGAAUUUGUCACCCCAGGCGUGCCCGCCUAACUGUAGCUAGCAGUUAAGGUGUGGGAUUGUCAGUCCCGAAUAGAUCUAUUCACAAAUUCCUCGCUCUCCCUCCAGGAGACUCUGGUUACACUUCCGGAGAGGAUUUACUUGAUCAUCCAUAAAGGGUAGUGACUAUCUCACAAGCUAGUAUUAAACUAUUCACAGGAUUCUCAUACGAUACCAAACAUACAAAGAUUUCAAGACAUGAUACAGUGAAAAAUAGAUACAUACAAUGAAACUAUCUGGCAAAACAUUCGAAUGAUACGGAGAUAAACUGAAUCAGACAUAGUUUAUCUAAUAACUUAAUACAGAUAUCAGUACAUGAUAUAAAGAGAAACAUAGAACCCCAAAUUAUUCCCAUAAUAAUUUGAUUAGUUUGAUUAUUUUCUUAACUAAAAUCCAUUUAGUUGUAAUUGAUAAAUCAUUCCUUAUGCUCAACAUAAUACAUAAGGAGUAAAAGAGUUUAUAAGUUUGCCAGAUAUUAUUUGAAACACAUAAAUGUUAUGAUUUGAAAACAGUUAUGGUUUGCUUGUAUUCCCCCCCUGAAAACAGUUAAAAACAGUGAAAAAGGCGUAGGGGUAUGAACUCACCGGACGAGAAGUAUGACGAUUUGGAUGCUAAGAGUUGAUCCGGGGCUUGUAAAUACACGAGGUUCCUAAUUAUAAUGUAAAGAUACACAUUUGUAUCUAAUUAGGACUUAGAUUGAUUGUUGGAUAGGGACAAUUGCUUCUAGUCGCGAAAACACUCCGAUACGAGUGUUUGGAGGGACCCGGGUGGCGUUUAAGGAUGUGAAAUGACACUAGGGACUUGGGACUUGAGUUUACUCCCCAUGAGUAAACUUUUAAAUGAGUUUACAACCACAAAACACACACAUACAUGAGUUUACGGCCGUAAACUCAUGUGGGUGUGGUUUUGGGUGUUUAAAUGGCUUAAAUGGCUUACAUGGACAUGGGAAAUGAUUCUAGGCUUUGUUCUAAAUGCAUGGAAUGGAUUAAAAUCACCAAAAUGAUUAAUUUAUGGGAGUUUACGGCCUAGCAUAGGCUCCUGGCCGUAAACUCCUUAAUCCUUAUGAAAAUGAUGCUAAAUGGUGCUAGAACAAAUCACAUGUGAUUGGUAAAAUUAAUCCAAGGCCUAACAUGAGUUUGUAUGGGAUUUUUGGGGGAUUUAUGGAGUUUACGGCCCAUGAAACCCCCUUCAUGGCCGUAAACUCUUGUGUGUGGUGUUCCAAGGUGUUUCAAGGUCUAGAACAUGCAUGAAAGGACUUCUAAAAUUCAUCUAAGGGCCUUAGGGGUGUGUAGUUUGCAUUCUAACACCAAAAAUUUUGGAGUUUACGGCCCAAGAACAGGUCUUGGCCGUAAACUCUUAGAAACCCCAUAAAAGAUGUGUUUUAGGCCCUUAAAGUAUUUUUGGUUGGUCCCUUGAUUUAUUCCAAGGCUUUUGGUGGUGUUGGAUGGCUUUCUAACACCUUAGAAUGAGAUUUAUGCCAAGUUUUGUGGAGUUUACGGCCCAAGAACUCUCCUUGGCCGUAAACUCAUCUAAGUCCCUCAAAAUUAAUGUUUCAAGUGUCCAAAUGCAAGAAUCAAAGUCCUAUAAUUCAUAUCUAAGCUGUAGGGGUGAUUUGGAAGGGU